Long non-coding RNA from Acipenser ruthenus (sterlet), 888 nucleotides. RefSeq lists it as uncharacterized. The transcript has 4 exons. The record is from RefSeq and is a predicted model, not a curated record. Lineage: Eukaryota; Metazoa; Chordata; Actinopteri; Acipenseriformes; Acipenseridae.
GAGAGGUUUGUUUUGUUCAUGUGUGGAGAGGUGGCUGCAGUCAGUGAUGAUUUUACAACACGCUGUCUCCUGCUGUUUAAAGUAUUUAGGCUGGGAUGAAAUGUUUUCUAAUAAUUAGUGAUUUUUGUGUUUGUUUAUUACCUGCACGGAGUUCCGUGAAAAGGAAAGCAUCCCUUUUCUGUGUUGAAUUUCACACACAGAGCGGAGCGCGUCAGUCGCAGCUACAGACAAGUCGAGCUUUUCAAUGAGAUGAUUUACUGAGAAACAAACGCGUUGAAGCUCCAGCAGAGCUCUGCGCGAUUCUGAAAGACCAAAGUAAAGUUACUCCUUGCAAAGCAUGUUGUUUGUGUUCUUUCUUUAUCACACCAGAAGAAGUGAUGAAUAUAUUUGAAUGGGAAGGCUACAGUAAAAAAUAAAUAUUACUAAAUACAAACCGCAGGCGGUGUUUCUGAUUGAAAAGAGGAUUCCGCUAGACCAGUGUGAAACUCAAACCAGUGAAGAUGGACGCGUCAGUGUGUCCGUGUCGCUCAAGACGAGCUCGCCUCUACCAUCGAGCACGCAGUGAAAGCGGCUCUACACACCGUCUUGUGUGCGAUUACUAAAGCUGUCGGCAGCAAAUUCACUGAAUUCAGAGUGGAAAUGGAACAAAAAGGAGAAAGAGAAUGAAAGUCUGAAGCUGAGAUUGGAAAUAUCACAGAACGAGCUGAAAGCUGUGCGAGCGUGUAUAAACGCUGCAGAUGCAGACAUUAAACAGCCUUUAAUAUUUCAAGAGGCAGAGGAUUCAGGUGACAGUGAUGCUGAACUGGACAGUGAUGGACUCAAAGGAGAGCGGGAGUUGGGAGACAAUAUGAUGGAGAAAAGAGCUGACAUGGAUUCUGAAGUGGUCCU